UUCCAACCACACCCCAGCACGCCAAGGGGUGACAAGAUCAUAAAAUCGUACAAUCCUACGAGUUGGAUCACGAUUUUGACUACCUUGCAAUACACCCUUAAAUAGACAAUGGAUGGACAUUAAAAGACUGAGAAGAAUCCUUAGAGACAUGAACAAUUCACAAAAGCCAAAUACAAGACAAAGGAAGCAUAGGUGACACAACAUCAUAAAGUAUUUUGCUCCUCAAUUCUCCCAGAUCCUCUAAAGCUAAUCAAAUGAAAUUGUUUCAAAUUGAAAAGACACACCCUAAAUUAACCAUAACCACUAAAUAAGUAACUCUGCGUGAAGGUGGAUAAGGUUGGGUUUUAUGGAACGGGGUGCCUAAGUCUCCCAUCAAGUAGUAUGGGAUGCUCAGUGAUAUGAAACACGGAUACAGACACGGACACUGCCAC
RNAcentral lists this long non-coding RNA (431 nucleotides) under Medicago truncatula (barrel medic). RNAcentral's name for it is "long non-coding RNA (MTRU_LNC005531)". The record is from RNAcentral. Lineage: Eukaryota; Viridiplantae; Streptophyta; Magnoliopsida; Fabales; Fabaceae.